RNAcentral lists this ribosomal RNA (529 nucleotides) under uncultured bacterium. RNAcentral describes it as "bacterial SSU rRNA". It matches the Rfam family "Bacterial small subunit ribosomal RNA", at positions 777 to 1307 of the family's 1533-position model. The record is from RNAcentral.
AAUAAUACCCCGGUAGUCCACGCCGUAAACGAUGAGUGCUAAGUGUUAGAGGGUUUCCGCCCUUUAGUGCUGCAGCUAACGCAUUAAGCACUCCGCCUGGGGAGUACGGUCGCAAGACUGAAACUCAAAGGAAUUGACGGGGGCCCGCACAAGCGGUGGAGCAUGUGGUUUAAUUCGAAGCAACGCGAAGAACCUUACCAGGUCUUGACAUCCCACUGACCGGUAUAGAGAUAUACCUUUCCCUUCGGGGACAGUGGUGACAGGUGGUGCAUGGUUGUCGUCAGCUCGUGUCGUGAGAUGUUGGGUUAAGUCCCGCAACGAGCGCAACCCUUGAUCUUAGUUGCCAGCAUUUAGUUGGGCACUCUAAGGUGACUGCCGGUGACAAACCGGAGGAAGGUGGGGAUGACGUCAAAUCAUCAUGCCCCUUAUGACCUGGGCUACACACGUGCUACAAUGGAUGGUACAAAGGGCUGCAAGACUGCGAAGUCAAGCCAAUCCAUAAACCAUUCUCAGUUCGGAUUGCAGGCUG